UACGGAGGGGGCUAGCGUUAUUCGGAAUCACUGGGCGUAAAGGGCGCGUAGGCGGCCAUUCAAGUCGGAGGUGAAAGCCCAGGGCUCAACCCUGGAAUUGCCUUCGAUACUGUUUGGCUAGAGACCGGAAGAGGUAAGUGGAACUGCGAGUGUAGAGGUGAAAUUCGUAGAUAUUCGGAAGAACACCAGUGGCGAAGGCGGCUCACUGGUCCGGUACUGACGCUGAUGUGCGAAAGCGUGGGGAGCAAACAGG
Molecule: ribosomal RNA, 253 nt
Filed under: uncultured bacterium
Lineage: Bacteria
Description: partial 16S ribosomal RNA
Rfam family: Bacterial small subunit ribosomal RNA
Source: RNAcentral